RNAcentral lists this long non-coding RNA (1613 nucleotides) under Anas platyrhynchos platyrhynchos (common mallard). Its description in RNAcentral is "lncRNA (ENSAPLG00000024255.1)". Lineage: Eukaryota; Metazoa; Chordata; Aves; Anseriformes; Anatidae. The record is from RNAcentral.
CCCUCCAGGCACGGCUCCUCGGCACGAGCAGGACGCUGGGUUUGCCUCCUCCACCUCCUCCCCGAGCCCUCAGCUCCUCGCUCCUUUCCUUUCCCCGGCUUCUCCGCUCGCCCAGCGCCUCCUGCUCGUCCCAGGGCUGCCGGGGGGCUCCAUCCUGCGGGGCUGGGGGCUUCAUCCUGCAGGGAUACAGCCGGGGCUGGGCCCAGAGGUGCCCCCCCCGCUGUAUGGGGCCGGGCCCGUCCCCUCCCACCACGGCCCCGCGCGUGGAGCCAAGUUCAAACCGCGAGCCCCAGCGCGGCGGCGGCGGAGCGGGACGCGGAGGGGGGCCAGGCUGUGGGGGCCCCCCCGGUGCCUGCGGGGCUCCAUGAUUCUCCCCAGGGCCCUUUCCUGCGCUGUGCUGCUGCUCCUGCUCCUCGCCGUGCUGGGCCGGGGCAAGAGGUGCAGCAUCGCCAGGAUCCUGCGGCAGUACCGCGCCGUCAUCUUCCACGAGAUCCAGAACCUGAAAAACCUGAGUGGCUCGGCGGAGAGGAGCAGCCGGGCAGGGCUGGCUUGCCGCUCGGACAAGGACCAGAAGAUCCUGCUGGCCAUCUACAACAUCAGCAUGUCCCUGCGGGACGUGGCGGGCGGCACCCUGCGUGGCCCCGAGGAGGUGGCGGUGUGGAAGGUGGCCAGGAACACCGAGUUCGUGCUGAGGGAGAACUGCAGGAGAAUCGGCAAGGUGGGAGCCCUGCCCCUUCCCAGUCUAUCCCAGUAGCUCCCAGUUUCCUGGCCGUGCGCUGGGAGUCGUGGCAAGAGUCCUGGGCCAGAACUGGGAUUUAUCCCCACGGCACCAGUCUGGGUAUCCCCAGGGCUCCGCUGGGGAAUUGCUGGGGAAACCCCAGCCUGGAGGCUCUCCUGCCCAGCCAACUCAUUAACCGGGCAACUCAUUAACUAAUUAAGCAGCGGGGAAGCCCCUGGGGUGGCACAGUGCGACUGGGGGCAUCUCCCUGCCAUGGUGGGGAAACCACCUGGGGUUAACCCUUCCUGGCUGCGGGCUGGGGGGGCUGGAAAACCACUUCUGCCCCACACGUGGACGUGCCAUGGGGUGUCCGGGGUGGGUGCUGCAGGCUGGGGGGGGGUCCCCAAAUCUCCUGCAGCCCCGGGGACCCCACCUGUCCGUGGGGCACCUCCUUGCUGUGGGUGGUUUGGGGUCCCCGAUGCGCACGGGGUCUGCGCCCUCCCCUGGGGCUCAGCAUUUUUGGGGUUUUGGGGGGGUGGCUGCCUGCUGGGGCUAUUUCUCACCCCUUUGGCACCCCGACAGCAGAGCCCACCCCGCGCCCCGGUGCAGCCCCGCGGGAGGAGGAAGCAGCUGAAGGAGAUCUCCAGGAGGGCGCAGCGGCUGGCGACGUGCUGGGAGAAGCUCUACGCCCUGCACGGCCCCCCCCGGGGCUCCUAGGGGUCCCCUCACCUCCUCCCCGCUCUGCUUUCGUGCCUGACGCCGCCUGGUUUUUGGGACCUGGGGGAAAUUCAACCCCGAAGUCAGCCAAAGAGGUACCAGGGGGUGCCCGGAUUUAAUUCAUCCUCUUGUUUCGAGUGGGACCCCCGGGACUGGCCCCGGUGCACGGGGUGGGUGC